GAUGAACGCUGGCGGCGUGCCUAAUACAUGCAAGUCGAGCGAACGGACGAGAAGCUUGCUUUUCUGAUGUUAGCGGCGGACGGGUGAGUAACACGUGGAUAACCUACCUAUAUUACUGGGAUAACUUCGGGAAACCGGAUCUAAUACCGGAUAAUAUUUUGAACCGCAUGGUUCAAAAGUGAAAGACGGUCUUGCUGUCACUUAUAGAUGGUUCCGCGCUGCAUUAGCUAGUUGGUAAGGUAACGGCCUACCAAGGCAACGAUGCAUAGCCGACCUGAGAGGGUGAUCGGCCACACUGGAACUGAGACACGGUCCAGACUCCUACGGGAGGCAGCAGUAGGGAAUAUUGCGCAAUGGGCGAAAGCCUGACGGAGCAACGCCGCGUGAGUGAUGAAGGUCUUCGGAUCGUAAAACUCUGUUAUUAGGGAAGAACAUAUGUGUAAGUAACUGUGCACAUCUUGACGGUACCUAAUCAGAAAGCAACGGCUAACUACGUG
This 497-nucleotide ribosomal RNA is filed under the name uncultured bacterium. Its description in RNAcentral is "partial 16S ribosomal RNA". It matches the Rfam family "Bacterial small subunit ribosomal RNA", at positions 28 to 507 of the family's 1533-position model. The record is from RNAcentral.